Amblyraja radiata (thorny skate) is the source of this 2066-nucleotide long non-coding RNA. RefSeq lists it as uncharacterized. The transcript is spliced from 3 exons. NCBI's taxonomy places the organism in Eukaryota, Metazoa, Chordata, Chondrichthyes, Rajiformes, Rajidae. The record is from RefSeq and is a predicted model, not a curated record.
UUUACGCAGAAGGUGGUGAGUGCCUGGAAUAUAUUGUGGGGGUUGGGAGUUGCAGGAGAUACGUUAGUAGUAUUUUAAGGACAUUUUAGUAAGCAUAUGAAUAUGCAGGGAAUAUGGGUUCUGUACAGAUAGAUAAGGUGAUGGUCUUGGCAUUAUGUUUGGUACGGACAUUGUAGGCCAUACUGUUCUAUGACUCUACCCAGUCAUGGUAGAGGUUUCCAUGUUCUAUGCUACCUUGCCCUGAGAACUGGGUUUUAGCUUUUCAUGGACAUCUACUGAUAAUAGUUUCCUGUUUUAAUGUCUCUCUUUAGGCAGUGACAUUGUACAUUUGUUCCAAUUGGCUGUGGUAAUUUCAACAUCUGGCGAACAUUGGAAGAUCAAUGUUUAGACACUUAAGGGAGAAAUCAGGAGGGCACGAGAUAGCUUUGACAAAUAAGGUAAAGGAGAAUCCAAAAAGAUUCUAUGUAUUGUGGCGUUGGGGAUGAUGCCAGGUGCAGCAGUGACCACACCAACACUCAUAUUAGAGUGAACAUUUUAAUUACAGUGGUAAGAUAGUCCAGGACCACAUGGGGGCGCUGUCCCUCGCCAUCAAGGCACACAUGUGGUGAUCUCGGGCUUAUCCCUGCAGCUCAGCUUUGGGCUUGAAGAGGUGGUGCUGGUGGUCUUUGGAUUAUCCGCCCGAGAUAUGGGCCAAAUGGGAUUAGCUUAGAUGGGGCAUCUUGGUCGUUAUGGACAAGUUGCUCUGAAGGGCCUGUUUCUGUGCUGUAAGACAUGAUCUAAUCAAGUUUAUCCUAAGACAUUAUGGAAAGCUAGGGAAGAAAUUGCAGGGCACUGGUGGAGAUAUUUGUAUAACUGCGGGUGAGGUGUGGGUAGACUGGAGGGUGGAUAAUGCUGUACUACUAAACCUGAGAACAACUGAUUGAUGCAACUUACGAUAGAUGCUAUUGCUUUGGAAGGGAUUCUGAGAGACAGAAUCUACAUGGAUUUGGAAAUGAUUGGGGAUAGUCAGUAUGGCUUCAUGCGUGGGGAAUCGUAUCUCACCAAUUUGACCGAGUUGUUUGAAGUAGUGACCAAGAAGGAUGUGGGCAAUGCAGUAGACAUUGUCUGCAAGACCCUUUGACAGGGUAUCACAUGGCAGGUUGGUCUGAAAGGAUAGAUCAUAUGGAAUCCUGGGUGAGCUCAGACACACAAUUGGCUUGGAGGAUUCAGAAGGUGAAGGUCGAGGUACAGGCUUGAGGCCUGUAAUAAGUGGUGUGACACAGGAAUCCCGAAGGACUGGAGAGUAGCCAAUGUUGUUCCUUUAUUUAAGAAGAGAAGUAGAGAGAAUCCAGGGAAUUAUAGGCCAGUGAGCCACACAUCGGUGGUAGGGAAGUUAUUGGAGAGGAUACUUCGAGAUAGGAUUCUUAUAGGAUUUUGGAGGAGAAUGGGUUAAUGAGGGACAGUCAGCAUGCCUUUGGACAUGGCUGUCAACCCGACCACCAGGCCCGACUGAGGUCUGGCCAUGACCGCUCGCUCGACAGUGAGACCUGGUGAGUCUUGACCGCCGAUGCUGGGAUCUUGGUCCAUGGCGACAGCAGACACCAGCUACUCACCGGAUUUACAAAGGCCUAUCCCAAAAAACAACAGCACUCGGCAGAUGCCUAUCUCACAACUUGCCCCCAGGCCCAAUUAAGCAAAGGGCCUUACCUCAUGGAAUAUCCCACGUCAGGUCCCGAACAGGCCAUGACCCCAAUCUUCCAGAGAGCCUGACGCCACAAACCGGACCCAACCAGACGGAUGUACCCACCUCAUGGAAUGUCCCUCAUUGGGUCCCGAACAGGCCAUGACCCCAAUCUUCCAGAGAACCCAACACCACGACCCAGACUCGACUGGACACACCUACCUCAUGGAACGGCCAACUCCCUUCACCGACUCCCGGACAUGAGCAGGAACUGCCAGUUACCCCGAAAAUGGGACAUGUGCUGGUGUGUCAAAAGACUGACCAUCCACUUCAUCUACAUCUCUCAUUAUUUAAUAAACCUCUGUAAAAUCACCCCUCCUACGCUCCAAGGAAUAAAGCCCUAGCC